UACGGGGGGGGCAAGCGUUGUUCGGAAUUACUGGGCGUAAAGGGCUCGUAGGUGGCCAACUAAGUCAGACGUGAAAUCCCUCGGCUUAACCGGGGAACUGCGUCUGAUACUGGAUGGCUUGAGAUCGGGAGAGGGAUGUGGAAUUCCAGGUGUAGCGGUGAAAUGCGUAGAUAUCUGGAGGAACACCGGUGGCGAAGGCGGCAUCCUGGACCGACACUGACGCUGAGGAGCGAAAGCCAGGGGAGCAAACGGG
This 253-nucleotide ribosomal RNA is filed under the name uncultured bacterium. RNAcentral describes it as "partial 16S ribosomal RNA". It matches the Rfam family "Bacterial small subunit ribosomal RNA", at positions 524 to 776 of the family's 1533-position model. The record is from RNAcentral.